GGGAAGAGGCAUCCUUGUGCCAUGUCGGAAUUAAAUCAUUGAUCCCAGAAGAAAGGGACCACCACAGUGCUACGGAAAACAGGAAUUGUGAGAAGUUAUGGGAUCCAUUUUAGCUUGAUUUACUCACAGACUCCUUAAGCACACUUCAUAAGAUGAGGAAACUGAGACACUGGAAGAGGAAGUAACUUGCCCAAUGUCACUCAGCCAGGAAGAGGUGGAACCCAGCAUUGAAAUCCAGACAGUCUAACUCCAAAACAAAUAAACAAUACCACCACACUUUUAUCUUCUAGGCUAUACAUUUCUAAUGGCCAAUGAAGAAAACAAACUGAAAACAAAAUUCCUCCUUCCUGCUCUUGCUUAUUCCUAAUGGCUGUUCUUUUUAGCUCAUGUAGAAAAUAAAGUAGUAACAUGUUUCAGUACUUAUUGUAGCUCUAGUAAUUUCAGCUUGUAAAUUUGCUUUGGAAACCUUAGUGUUUAAAUAUUAAUCAAACAGAUGCAACUUUCCAAGCAACUGUUGUCAGAGAAAGAUCAACAUUCGUUAGAUUUUUACUUACUGACAAGUUAAAAAUAAGAUUAUGGUAGCUUUCCUACCUCCUGAAAAUCUGUUGCUCUUUAAGCCCCUCGUCAGAUUCAAAAGAAAUAUUUUGCACUCAACUUUAAAGCAGAGAUAUAUAAAAAUCAGCAAAUAAAUGAAAAAGUGAUUAAAUUCUUUAUUAAAGAUUUACCAAAAAAUAAUCCUUUAACUAUGUAAUCCUACAAUUGUUUUCAAAUACAAAUGAUUUUCCCCAUGUUUAGAUGUAUGUAUUUAAUGAAUACAACUCAGUAUAAUGAUCUUCCUAAAAAUGCCCCUUUUGUUUCCUUUUCUGAGACUUCUAAUGUAUUAAAAAAUAUAUAAUGCCAAAAAGCUUUUAUUAAAUUGUGAAAAAUUUAAAAUUUCCACACUUGUUAAAGAAAUACUUUUAAGCACACACAUGUGCAGUGAUUUGCUUGUAUUUUUCCCUUGAUGGUAACGGGAUUUAGA
Molecule: long non-coding RNA, 1021 nt
Filed under: Homo sapiens (human)
Lineage: Eukaryota; Metazoa; Chordata; Mammalia; Primates; Hominidae
Description: HSALNT0214099
Source: RNAcentral